Long non-coding RNA from Esox lucius (northern pike), 1722 nucleotides. Lineage: Eukaryota; Metazoa; Chordata; Actinopteri; Esociformes; Esocidae. The record is from Ensembl.
GGGUUGCAACAUACUUUUAUUCAUUUAUUUGUGUACAGCUUCCACUGGACAACUUUUUAAUUUUUAUACAUUUCUAAUAUUUGUUAAUGCAUUUUGUAUGUUUGUUUUUAGUUUCUGUGUUCAUGUUUGUGUCAUGUUCAUUUGAAGUGUAUCAGUUUUUCGUCACUCAUUCAUACCGUCGGUCAUGUCAAGUCACAGUUUAAGAUGGGUUAUCAAAAGCAAACGAACACACCAAAAGGAAAAAUAAAAAAUAAGAUGUUUUUGAAAAUAAAUACAAUUAAAAAGAUAGAAAUGAGAGGACCAGGUCAGUGUUUAAAUCAGGGUUGGUCAGUUAAUAUGGUGAAUGAAAAAUACUUUACAAACAAAUAGCAUUGUAAACUGCAGCUGUGGCAUUUUUGACAAAGGUGAGCAGUAUAUUGCCGUGGCUGGGGUUUUUAGCAGACUGUUAUCUCCAAGUAUACACAUUUCUAGGACGGAAGACGACAAAAGUCCAAUUCAAUUUUAUCUUUAUUUUCUUUUUCAUUUCUAAUGAAAUAAUUUUCCUGACCACAGGAUCCUGAUACUAGAACACACAUUGAUGGUUUCCCCAGCUCAGAUGCUACAUGCAUGUAGCAGUACCCGACUCUGCGUUACCAUGUCAUUGACUAACAGACAGCUAGACGCUGUGGACAGUUGACACAUCAGAUAUCCAGAUGUUCUGAUCUCAGAGAAACAUGGUCAAUAACGAGAACCGUGUGAAUUUACCAGCACGUCAGUAAACAAAAUGUUACACUUUCAAUAUUCCACCAAAAGCAUCUCGGCACUCUGAAGGGGGGAAUUACAAAUGUGGAUGACUCGUUCAGCUAAUAUGUAUACUGUAUACCUCGUACGCAUAGCUCCCCAUUUGAAUAUUUUAUAAUCAUUAUUUUUCUAUGUAAAUUAUUUUACACAUCUGCAUUCCUGAAUGGAAUCUGUAAAACUGUAGAUCAAUCCCCUCUGACCCUGGAACAGAGGGCCAAAACCCUGAAUAAUAAGCGGGAAUAAGAAUGCCGUAUGCUCUGUCCCAAGUGGCACCCAAUUUUACAGUCAAAAAUAGGCCACUGACCAGGGGACAGGGCAGACCUCCCUGGGUUUGGCUGAUUUUUAGAGAGUAUUUAUUGCAAGUCUGGUUAGAAGGUUACUGGUUCUCAGACAUAGCUUAUAUUUAGCUUCCCAUCUCAAAACAACCACUGCUGAUGACAUUUUCUAAAUCAAAGACAGUUGAGAGAUGUCUAUGCACAAGUGAUUGCUUGUUGGGUUAGUUGACUGGGUCUUGUGAGCCAUAUGAUUUAAGCCACAAAUAAAAACAACAAAAAAAACAACAUACAUGUAAUGGCACUGCUCCUCAAAGUAAAAAAAAAGAAAAAAUCCAAAUAGACCUUUGGUGAGACGUCGUUUGAAAUUGUCCGUUCCUUUUUUUCAGAGCCAAGAGAAACCGUUUGAAUGUAGAAAUAUGCUACGUAAAACAAGUAUGAAAAGUAGGAUAAGGAAUUGUGUUGGCUCUAUUCUUGGCAUUACAAUGUUAGGCUACUGAAUGGCAGACCGUAUCGGCCAGAUACCGAAACAGACCCAAUAACUGCAUCCAGAAGCUUUUCCAAACCAUAAGACACAACAUUGCGCAAUAAGACGCAGUGAAGUUUUCGCCAUAGACUAACAUUUGAUUUUGACUGCAGUUUCUUUAUAUUGUCUGAACUGCCCUUCAAU